RNAcentral lists this ribosomal RNA (407 nucleotides) under uncultured bacterium. Its description in RNAcentral is "partial 16S ribosomal RNA". It matches the Rfam family "Bacterial small subunit ribosomal RNA", at positions 28 to 526 of the family's 1533-position model. The record is from RNAcentral.
GACGCACGCUGGCGGCGUGCCUAAUACAUGCACGUCGGACGCAGUUGCGAACGGGUGAGUAACGCGUAGGUAACUGCCAGUUAGAGGGGGCUAACUAUUGGAAACGAUAGCUAAUACCGCAUAAUAGUAGAUGGACCUGCGUGUGAUUAGAUAGUCAGUCGGGUAAUGGCCAACCUAGGCAAAUGUACAUAGCAUAGCUGAUGUGGUGAUUGGCCACACUGGGACUGAGACACGGCCCAGACUCCGUCGGGAGGCAGCAGGAGGUAAUCUUCGGCAAUGGGGGGAACCCUUACCGAGCAACGCCGCGUGAUGGAAGAAGGAUUUCGGAUCGUAAAGCUCUGGUGUUAAGGAAGCGGUACUUAACCAGAAAGGGACGGCUAACUACGUGCCAGCAGCCGCGGUAAUAC